RNAcentral lists this ribosomal RNA (546 nucleotides) under uncultured Rhizophagus. RNAcentral describes it as "SSU rRNA". It matches the Rfam family "Eukaryotic small subunit ribosomal RNA", at positions 548 to 1098 of the family's 1831-position model. The record is from RNAcentral. Lineage: Eukaryota; Fungi; Glomeromycota; Glomeromycetes; Glomerales; Glomeraceae.
UUGGAGGGCAAGUCUGGUGCCAGCAGCCGCGGUAAUUCCAGCUCCAAUAGCGUAUAUUAAAGUUGUUGCAGUUAAAAAGCUCGUAGUUGAAUUUCGGGGUCAGUAGGUUGGUCAUGCCACAGGUAUGUACUGGUCUCACUGAUUCCUCCUUCCUGAUGAACUGUAAUGCCAUUAAUUUGGUGUUGCAGGGAAUCUGGACUGUUACUUUGAAAAAAUUAGAGUGUUUAAAGCAGGCUAACGCCUGAAUACAUUAGCAUGGAAUAAUGAAAUAGGACGUUCGAUCCUAUUUUGUUGGUUUCUAGGAUUGACGUAAUGAUUAAUAGGGAUAGUUGGGGGCAUUAGUAUUCAAUUGUCAGAGGUGAAAUUCUUGGAUUUAUUGAAGACUAACUACUGCGAAAGCAUUUGCCAAGGAUGUUUUCAUUAAUCAAGAACGAAAGUUAGGGGAUCGAAGACGAUCAGAUACCGUCGUAGUCUUAACCAUAAACUAUGCCGACUAGGAAUCGGGCGUCGUUAUUUUCACGACUCGCUCGGCGCCUUACGGGAAAC